UGGCUCUUUUUUGCAUUUGACUGUGCACGU
Molecule: non-coding RNA, 30 nt
Filed under: Mus musculus (house mouse)
Lineage: Eukaryota; Metazoa; Chordata; Mammalia; Rodentia; Muridae
Source: RNAcentral